This 434-nucleotide ribosomal RNA is filed under the name uncultured Coprococcus sp. RNAcentral describes it as "partial 16S ribosomal RNA". It matches the Rfam family "Bacterial small subunit ribosomal RNA", at positions 341 to 792 of the family's 1533-position model. The record is from RNAcentral. Lineage: Bacteria; Bacillati; Bacillota; Clostridia; Lachnospirales; Lachnospiraceae.
ACGGAAGGCAGCAGUGGGGAAUAUUGCACAAUGGGGGAAACCCUGAUGCAGCGACGCCGCGUGAGUGAAGAAGUAUUUCGGUAUGUAAAGCUCUAUCAGCAGGGAAGAUAAUGACGGUACCUGACUAAGAAGCACCGGCUAAAUACGUGCCAGCAGCCGCGGUAAUACGUAUGGUGCAAGCGUUAUCCGGAUUUACUGGGUGUAAAGGGAGCGUAGACGGCAUGGCAAGUCUGAAGUGAAAGCCUGGGGCUCAACCCCGGAACUGCUUUGGAAACUGUUAAGCUAGAGUGCAGGAGAGGUAAGUGGAAUUCCUAGUGUAGCGGUGAAAUGCGUAGAUAUUCGGAGGAACACCAGUGGCGAAGGCGGCUUACUGGGCUCUAACUGACGCUGAGGCACGAAAGUGUGGGUAGCAAACAGGAUUAGAUACCCUGGUA